GAUGAACGCUGGCGGCGUGCCUAAUACAUGCAAGUCGAGCGAACGGACGAGAAGCUUGCGUCUCUGAUGUUAGCGGCGGACGGGUGAGUAACACGUGGAUAACCUACCUAUAAGACGGGGAUAACUUCGGGAAACCGGAGCUAAUACCGGAUAAUCUUUUGAACCGCAUGGUUCAAAAGUGAAAGACGGUCGUGCUGUCACUUAUAGAUGGAUCCGCGCUGGAUUAGCUAGUUGGUAAGGUAACGGCUUACCAAGGCAACGAUGCAUAGCCGACCUGAGAGGGUGAUCGGCCACCCUGGAACUGAGACACGGUCCAGACUCCUACGGGAGGCAGCAGUAGGGAAUCUUCCGCAAUGGGCGAAAGCCUGACGGAGCAACGCCGCGUGAGUGAUGAAGGUCUUCGGAUCGUAAAACUCUGUUAUUAGGGAAGAACAUAUGUGUAAGUAACUGUGCACAUCUUGACGGUACCUAAUCAGAAAGCCACGGCUAACUACGUG
Molecule: ribosomal RNA, 497 nt
Filed under: uncultured bacterium
Lineage: Bacteria
Description: partial 16S ribosomal RNA
Rfam family: Bacterial small subunit ribosomal RNA
Source: RNAcentral